UCGAGGAUCAUUCACAAUGGGGGAAACCCUGAUGGUGCGACGCCGCGUGGGGGAAUGAAGGUCUUCGGAUUGUAAACCCCUGUCAUGUGGGAGCAAAUUAAAAAGAUAGUACCACAAGAGGAAGAGACGGCUAACUCUGUGCCAGCAGCCGCGGUAAUACAGAGGUCUCAAGCGUUGUUCGGAAUCACUGGGCGUAAAGCGUGCGUAGGCUGUUUCGUAAGUCGUGUGUGAAAGGCGCGGGCUCAACCCGCGGACGGCACAUGAUACUGCGAGACUAGAGUAAUGGAGGGGGAACCGGAAUUCUCGGUGUAGCAGUGAAAUGCGUAGAUAUCGAGAGGAACACUCGUGGCGAAGGCGGGUUCCUGGACAUUAACUGACGCUGAGGCACGAAGGCCAGGGGAGCGAAAGGG
This 410-nucleotide ribosomal RNA is filed under the name uncultured bacterium. RNAcentral describes it as "bacterial SSU rRNA". It matches the Rfam family "Bacterial small subunit ribosomal RNA", at positions 355 to 776 of the family's 1533-position model. The record is from RNAcentral.